AUUGAACGCUGGCGGCAUGCCUUACACAUGCAAGUCGAACGGCAGCACGGGUGCUUGCACCUGGUGGCGAGUGGCGAACGGGUGAGUAAUACAUCGGAACAUGUCCUGUAGUGGGGGAUAGCCCGGCGAAAGCCGGAUUAAUACCGCAUACGAUCUACGGCUGAAAGCGGGGGACCUUCGGGCCUCGCGCUAUAGGGUUGGCCGAUGGCUGAUUAGCUAGUUGGUGGGGUAAAGGCCUACCAAGGCGACGAUCAGUAGAUGGUCUGAGAGGACGACCAGCCACACUGGGACUGAGACACGGCCCAGACUCCUACGGGAGGCAGCAGUGGGGAAUUUUGGACAAUGGGCGAAAGCCUGAUCCAGCAAUGCCGCGUGUGUGAAGAAGGCCUUCGGGUUGUAAAGCACUUUUGUCCGGAAAGAAAUCCUUGGCUCUAAUACAGUCGGGGGAUGACGGUACCGGAAGAAUAAGCACCGGCUAACUACGUG
Molecule: ribosomal RNA, 486 nt
Filed under: uncultured bacterium
Lineage: Bacteria
Description: partial 16S ribosomal RNA
Rfam family: Bacterial small subunit ribosomal RNA
Source: RNAcentral